GCGCGAAAACUUUACAAUGUGCGAAAGCGUGAUAAGGGAACUCAAAGUGCUUAUACAAUAGUAUAGGCUUUUGCCAAGUUCAAAUUGCUUGGCGAAUAAGUGGUGGGCAAGACUGGUGCCAGCCGCCGCGGUAACCCCAGCGCCACGAGUGGGAACCAGUAUUAUUGGGUCUAAAGCGUCCGUAGCAGGUUUGUUAAAUUGCUUGUGAAAUCGCAUAGCUUAACUAUGCGGAUUGCAGGUAAGACUGGCAGACUUGAGACCGGGAGAAGUUGGAGGUAUUCAUAGGGGAGCGGUAAAAUGCGAGAAUCCUAUGAGGACGACCUGUGGCGAAGGCGUCCAACAAUAACGGGUCUGACUGUGAGGGACGAAAGCUAGGGGAGCGAACCGG
Molecule: ribosomal RNA, 388 nt
Filed under: uncultured euryarchaeote
Lineage: Archaea; Methanobacteriati; Methanobacteriota
Description: bacterial SSU rRNA
Rfam family: Archaeal small subunit ribosomal RNA
Source: RNAcentral